GCUACUCUGGUGACGAGCGGCGGACGGGUGAGUAGUGCUUGGGAACAUGCCUUGAGGUGGGGGACAACAGUUGGAAACGACUGCUAAUACCGCAUAAUGUCUACGGACCAAAGGGGGCUUCGGCUCUCGCCUUUAGAUUGGCCCAAGUGGGAUUAUCUAGUUGGUGAGGUAGUGGCUCACCAAGGCGACGAUCCCUAUCUGGUUUGAGAGGAUGAUCACCCACACUGGGACUGAGACACGGCCCAGACUCCUACGGGAGGCAGCAGUGGGGAAUAUUGCACAAUGGGCGCAAGCCUGAUGCAGCCAUGCCGCGUGUGUGAAGAAGGCCUUCGGGUUGUAAAGCACUUUCAGUCAGGAGGAAAGGGUGGGAGUUAAUACCUGAUAUCUGUGACGUUACUGACAGAAGAAGCACCGGCUAACUCCGUGCCAGCAGCCGCGGUAAUACGGAGGGUGCGAGCGUUAAUCGGAAUUACUGGGCGUAAAGCGUACGCAGGCGGUUUGUUAAGCGAGAUGUGAAAGCCCCGGUCUCAACCUGGGAACUGCAUUUCGAACUGGCAAACUAGAGUGUGAUAGAGGGUGGUAGAAUUUCAGGUGUAGCGGUGAAAUGCGUAGAGAUCUGAAGGAAUACCGAUGGCGAAGGCAGCCACCUGUCUCAACACUGACGCUCAUG
RNAcentral lists this ribosomal RNA (670 nucleotides) under Pseudoalteromonas marina. RNAcentral describes it as "bacterial SSU rRNA". It matches the Rfam family "Bacterial small subunit ribosomal RNA", at positions 79 to 751 of the family's 1533-position model. The record is from RNAcentral. Lineage: Bacteria; Pseudomonadati; Pseudomonadota; Gammaproteobacteria; Alteromonadales; Pseudoalteromonadaceae.